GUUGCUCUUUUUGGGUGCUCGCUUCGUUGCGUGUGGGAAGGAGGCGUUUGGGAUCGGCGGCGUGCUCCCUUCUCUACUCCCUGUUGGGCAACGCAGGUCUGCAGAGGCGGCGGCCGGAGAGAUGUGAGGCGAGGGGUCAGGGGUGGAGGAGGCCAGGAGAGCGUGCCGGCGAGAAGGCGCUGCUGUGGUUGGCAGGUCUUCGCCUCAGCGGCGGAGUUGGGCCCCAGGGGGGCAGGGGCAGCACGAGCCGCGGUGCGGGUAGGGCUCCGUGGUGGGCGAGCAACAGCCGAGCGGGCUCGGACGGUUCUUCAGGCGGCACGGCGCCUCCCCGAGGACCCCGGCUCUUCGUAUCGCCGCGGCCGCUACGGCCCCACGAGCGUAGUGGGUUCCAACUGUCCGGGUAGCGCGAGUUGAAGCUCCUCUCCUACGGACAGUUCUUCGCCGGGAGCGGUCGCGUCUCGAGCCGCAGCUCCUCUCCAGGUAGCGGUGACUACUUAUAGCGCUCGCUCGCUCGGUCGCCGGCACGCACGCAGUCCUGUGCGAGCAUUCCUGGGGGCGGAGGAAGGAAGGAACACGAGCCGGUAUGGAUCGUCGUUCCUCCUCCUAGAUGAUGGGAUGCCUUCCCUUCCUUCUCCGGCGGCCGCUCGCUCCGUGCCGGUGCCGCAACCUGAGUGGCCCCUGCCGACGAGGAGGGCUCCAUUGGUUGGGGAGGCUAGGAGAAGAAGGGGGUUAAGAUAAACGUAGACGCACGCAUGCGUUGAAGUCAAGACAUGUAUGUAUAAGUCAAGUUUGACUUGGGGUUGGGGUUGGGCAACCGACUUCGAAGUCAAGACAUGUACGUAUAACUCAAGUUCGACUUGGGGUUGGGUUGGGCAACCGACUUCGUAAAUGUACGGAUACAUUUGGACCCUUUACCCUUACGAGGUUUUGGAUUUAAUUUAGUUUAGGUUUGACGUAUAUAUGGCGAACAGGCCGUUCACUUUAGGUGGUUUGGUUGGGUGAGGUUAGGUACUGGCUGUCAUGGUUGGGUUGGUAGAGUUUCAAAACCAAAACCUGAUGAUGAUGAUGACUUGGGUUAAAGGUUAGAAUUGGAUGGGUAGUCGGCGUGUAAUUCGAGACAUGGAUACAAGUCAAACUAGUUGGCUAAUCGUUUAGUCACUCCCGUCCAAGGUUAAAAAUGAUCUGCCCUUUCGUACGGUGCGGCAUUAAAACUAGCGAGAUGCCAACCUGCUGUUUGUACCUCCUUUGGGACGACUGCACGUACGCGAGGAGACGCGAACCACUGGAUAUGUAGACGAGGUAGCACUUGUACACGAAGCACAGUUUGUCCAUCGGCGGUUCCCACUCGAGCACGUCGCCAAAUCCAUAUCUACACGUAGGGUAUUCCCUUCGAUGUCAAAGAAAGUAUUUUGAUAAACAACAAUCACGUAACGUAUAACUUCAUUAGACCUACCCGAAUAGAACUCAAGAGGUAGUUCAAUAUAAUGAAACUGUCCUUUUUCACGUCUUUCUGGUAUAUUUCAUGAGACCACUCAGAGAGUUAACUUGAUCUAAAAAAAUCCACGCACUUUGUACGUGUUACUAAACGAGACAACUCACAUUCAACUUGAUCGUGAACUUAAUAUCGAGUACGGCCAUACGAUUAAAAGAGAAAGAGUAUAGUCGAGAGGAAAAACAGGUAAAAAUAAGUGAUGAUGGACUUCCUUUGACAUGACCUAUCGUCGUCAUCUUUGACAUGAUACCUUCCCUCCCACUCGCUAAGACCCUUUAAGGAACACCGGCACUUUCCGGUCCUACGGUAUGACUAACAUCACGUUACUCGCCCGUAAUAAAUCCGGUUCACAAAUUAUAAGUUAUAAAAUAGAAAGGUGUAGUGCCCUUACUCGAGCGCGUUUCGGCUCAUCGCUUAGGACCCUCACUCCAGUUUACGACCUACGUAUACCCAAAACAGUUGCUGUUACCGGUUUUCCGCCGUUUUCAUCUGUUUUUGAAGAAGUGAUAGUUUCUAUGAUGUAACAGGUCGUCUUUGAUCUCGUUGUCAGGUCGUCUUUUCCUUCGUCGGUCUCUUCUUCGUCGUCAUCCUUUUCUUUAUCAGGCUCCAAGUCACCGCGUAAGAGGUGACGAGACGUCGAAGAAGCGGUAAUAACUACCCACUCGUUCCGUUUAGGUGAUCGAUUCGAGAGAGAGAGAGAGAGAGAGAGUUUACUUUGAAUGGCCAAGGUAGUCUAUUCCACUUUACUCUGUGUUUAACUUUGCUGAUUUAAACUUGGUCCUUAAAGAACAUUAAAACUAGUAAAAAACACACGUAAGGUACGAGACAAAAGACGUGAAACCUCAACACUUUGUUCACACGCGAGGAACGACAAGUUCCUUUCUAGAGGAACAAAAACAGAUUCCUACAUGAAGUGAUGAUACAUCCGAAGAACGGCAGAAACAACCAAAAUUGUACGAACGGCAAAUAUCCCGUAGAACUUACACGUAUAUCUAGUCCGUAUAUCUAGUGCUUAUAGUCGAUUAACAGUUCUAAUGAAUUGACGUGGUACAGUUAAUAGACCUUUUGUUUUACAAUUAAAGGAAGUUCCACUUUAACGAACGUUUUAUGUCAACGUACGUUCUUAACGAGAAAUUAAACCUUCAGUAACCAUAGAAAAUCUUUCUUCUAGUUAAACAACUACCAUGUUCUUCCACACCAAAAAACAGCGAAUAUACGGCGACUUAUAAACUUUGCAACGGUAUAAACCAUGAACGACAAAACUCAGGAAUAAACAAGAACGAACGAAAGAUGAAGUAGAGAAUAAUACACUGUUGAAUUCGAAAAAUAAGUACACCUUAGACUUAUACUUAUGGUGUUGUCCACAUUCGAACUACUACAUACAUAGUCGUGGUGUCUUUUGAAAGACCUCAAAUGUAUUACUAUGAGGUUAAGUCCUCGAACGUAUGAGUAAUGUAAAAAACACCUCACAACUACUUUAAGCCGGUUUUGUAGACGGACAAUUAUAAAUCUUUUCUCCAAACUCCAAUAGGUCUAGAAGUUCAUUCAAUCAAGAGUUAGGAUACAGUCUGUAUAUUGUGUAACGAAGGAGCCUCAGCGAUCUUGACUUAACUUG
RNAcentral lists this ribosomal RNA (3107 nucleotides) under Triticum aestivum (bread wheat). RNAcentral's name for it is "partial small subunit ribosomal RNA". Lineage: Eukaryota; Viridiplantae; Streptophyta; Magnoliopsida; Poales; Poaceae. The record is from RNAcentral.